UGGUCUUGACAUCCUUCUGACCGGUCCUUAACCGGAUCUUUCCUUCGGGACAGGAGUGACAGGUGGUGCAUGGUUGUCGUCAGCUCGUGUCGUGAGAUGUUGGGUUAAGUCCCGCAACGAGCGCAACCCCUAUCUUUAGUAGCCAGCAUUUCAGGUGGGCACUCUAGAGAGACUGCCAGGGAUAACCUGGAGGAAGGUGGGGACAACGUCAAAUCAUCAUGCCCCUUAUGACCAGGGCUACACACGUGCUACAAUGGCGUAAACAGAGGGAAGCAGCCUCGUGAGAGUGAGCAAAUCCCAAAAAUAACGUCUCAGUUCGGAUUGUAGUCUGCAACUCGACUACAUGAAGCUGGAAUCGCUAGUAAUCGCGAAUCAGAAUGUCGCGGUGAAUACGUUCCCGGGUCUUGUACACACCG
This 416-nucleotide ribosomal RNA is filed under the name uncultured bacterium. RNAcentral describes it as "bacterial SSU rRNA". It matches the Rfam family "Bacterial small subunit ribosomal RNA", at positions 976 to 1392 of the family's 1533-position model. The record is from RNAcentral.